RNAcentral lists this ribosomal RNA (254 nucleotides) under uncultured bacterium. RNAcentral's name for it is "partial 16S ribosomal RNA". It matches the Rfam family "Bacterial small subunit ribosomal RNA", at positions 524 to 776 of the family's 1533-position model. The record is from RNAcentral.
UACGUAGGGUGCAAGCGUUGUCCGGAAUUAUUGGGCGUAAAGAGCUCGUAGGCGGUUUGUCGCGUCGGCUGUGAAAGCCCGGAGCUCAACUCCGGGUCUGCAGUCGAUACGGGCAGACUUGAGUGUUGCAGGGGAGACUGGAAUUCCUGGUGUAGCGGUGAAAUGCGCAGAUAUCAGGAGGAACACCGGUGGCGAAGGCGGGUCUCUGGGCAACAACUGACGCUGGAGGAGCGAAAGCGUGGGGAGCGAACAGG